RNAcentral lists this ribosomal RNA (793 nucleotides) under uncultured archaeon. Its description in RNAcentral is "bacterial SSU rRNA". It matches the Rfam family "Archaeal small subunit ribosomal RNA", at positions 85 to 879 of the family's 1478-position model. The record is from RNAcentral.
ACGGCUCAGUAACACGUGGAUAACCUACCCUCAGAUCUGGGAUAACUCCGGGAAACUGGAGAUAAUACCGGAUAAUCCGUGAACGCUGGAAUGCCUUACGGUUCAAAGCUUUAGCGUCUGAGGAUGGGUCUGCGGCCGAUUAGGUAGUUGCUGGGGUAACGUCCCAACAAGCCGAUAAUCGGUACGGGUUGUGAGAGCAAGAGCCCGGAGAUGGAUUCUGAGACACGAAUCCAGGCCCUACGGGGUGCAGCAGGCGCGAAAACUUUACAAUGCCGGCAACGGCGAUAAGGGAACCUCGAGUGCCAGGUUACAAAUCUGGCUGUCGUGAUGCCUAAAAAGCAUUGCAUAGCAAGGGCCGGGCAAGACCGGUGCCAGCCGCCGCGGUAACCCCAGCGCCACAAGUGAUUAUCACGAUUAUUGGGCCUAAAGCGUUCGUAGCCGGUUUGGUAAAUCUCUUGUGAAAUUGUUCGGCUUAACCGGACAGCGUGCAGGAGACACUGCCAGACUCGAGACCGGGAGGCGUUAGAAGUAUUCCAUGGGGACUGGUAAAAUGGGAUAAUCCAUGGAAGACUACCGAUGGCGAAGGCAUCUAACGAGAACGGAUCUGACGGUGAGGAACGAGAGCUAGGGGAGCAAACCGGAUUAGAUACCCGGGUAGUCCUAGCCGUAAACAAUGCAGGCUGUGUGUUCCCUGAACCUCGAGUUCAGGGAGUGCUGAAGGGAAACCGUUAAGCCUGCCGCCUGGGGAGUACGGUCGCAAGGCUGAAACUUAAAGGAAUUGGCGGGGGAGCAC